Molecule: transfer RNA, 71 nt
Filed under: Vitis vinifera (wine grape)
Lineage: Eukaryota; Viridiplantae; Streptophyta; Magnoliopsida; Vitales; Vitaceae
Rfam family: tRNA
About the family: Transfer RNA (tRNA) molecules are approximately 80 nucleotides in length.
Source: Rfam by way of RNAcentral
GACUCCAUGGCCAAAUGGAUAAGGCAAGUCUAUGGAACCAGAGAUUCUGGGUUUGAUCCCCAAUGGAGUCG